GCAACAGCUCAAAUUUGAAAUCUGGCCUUCUGGUCCGAAUUGUAAUUUGUAGAGGAUGCUUUUGGCGCGGUGCCUUCCGAGUUCCCUGGAACGGGACGCCUUAGAGGGUGAGAGCCCCGUACGGUUGGACACCAAGCCUCUGUAAAGCUCCUUCGACGAGUCGAGUAGUUUGGGAAUGCUGCUCUAAAUGGGAGGUAAAUUUCUUCUAAAGCUAAAUACCGGCCAGAGACCGAUAGCGCACAAGUAGAGUGAUCGAAAGAUGAAAAGCACUUUGAAAAGAGGGUUAAAUAGCACGUGAAAUUGUUGAAAGGGAAGCGUUUGCGACCAGACCUUCUGUAGGCGGAACAAAUGGUGUUCUCACCGUUGCACUUCGUCUGCUGUAGGCCAGCAUCGGUUUUCGUAGGGGGAUAAAAACGGUGGGAAAGUAGCUCCCCUCGGGGAGUGUUAUAGCCCGCCGUAUAAUGCCCUUACGGGGACCGAGGACCGCGCUUCGGCAAGGAUGCUGGCAUAAUGGUCGUCAACGACCCGUCUUGAAACACGGACCAAGGAGUCGAACAUUUGUGCGAGUGUUUGGGUGUUAAACCCUCACGCGUAAUGAAAGUGAACGGAGGUGAGAGCCCUUACGGGUGCAUCAUCGACCGAUCCUGAUGUCUUCGGAUGGAUUUGAGUAGGAGCAUAACUGUUCGGACCCGAAAGAUGGUGAACUAUGCGUGGAUAGGGUGAAGCCAGAGGAAACUCUGGUGGAGGCUCGCAGCGGUUCUGACGUGCAAAUCGAUCGUCAAAUCUGCGCAUGGGGGCGAAAGACUAAUCGAACCAU
Molecule: ribosomal RNA, 817 nt
Filed under: Neobarrmaelia serenoae
Lineage: Eukaryota; Fungi; Ascomycota; Sordariomycetes; Xylariales
Description: Barrmaelia serenoae partial 28S large subunit ribosomal RNA
Rfam family: Eukaryotic large subunit ribosomal RNA
Source: RNAcentral